This 498-nucleotide ribosomal RNA is filed under the name uncultured bacterium. Its description in RNAcentral is "bacterial SSU rRNA". It matches the Rfam family "Bacterial small subunit ribosomal RNA", at positions 28 to 517 of the family's 1533-position model. The record is from RNAcentral.
GAUGAACGCUGGCGGCGUGCCUAACACAUGCAAGUCGAACGGAGUUAUGAUGUGAGCGGGAAGUGCUUGCACUAAACAAUCUUUUCAUAACUUAGUGGCGGACGGGUGAGUAACGCGUGGGUAACCUGCCCUGUACUGGGGGACAACAGUUGGAAACGACUGCUAAUACCGCAUAAGCGCACGGGAUCGCAUGAUCUAGUGUGAAAAACUCCGGUGGUACAGGAUGGACCCGCGUCUGAUUAGCUGGUUGGUGAGGUAACGGCCCACCAAGGCAACGAUCAGUAGCCGGCCUGAGAGGGUGAACGGCCACAUUGGGACUGAGACACGGCCCAAACUCCUACGGGAGGCAGCAGUGGGGAAUAUUGCACAAUGGGGGAAACCCUGAUGCAGCGACGCCGCGUGAGUGAAGAAGUAUUUCGGUAUGUAAAGCUCUAUCAGCAGGGAAGAAAAUGACGGUACCUGACUAAGAAGCCCCGGNUAACUACGUGCCAGCAGCCG